AGAAUAUAGAUAAGGAACUCACAAGCAAAUAAAUACUAAGGCUACUGUCCAGGUAACCUGGUCCAUUCCUUCACUGUCCUGAUAUGGAACACUUCUGUGAUGAAGUAGGAACUGCUGAGCAGAGUUUACGUGCCUUCUUGGAGCAUGCAAGGGAGCAAGAGCAAAUGGCUUUUGCACAUGAAAGUUUCAAGAACCAGGGUGAGAAGCUUCCCUGGAAGAAUACAGAGGAAAGAGAGGCCUCAUCUAUGUUCCAUAUUCCUGCCAGGCUCUGUCAGGAGUGUGAGAUCCCCAACAGUGGCAUGAACUUACUGGCAAAACUGUUUCCAUCAAUGUAAGUGUUUUCACUCAACUGGAUAGUUUCACUAGACUGCAACAGCAGUUCCAUUUCUUGGAGACAGCUAUGUCCAUUCCUUGGAAUACUUCAUCAUACUUUAUCAGUACACUAUAAGGGUACUCUGACAUAAAUAAUGGCCUCCUACUACAGUUACAGUAACAGAUUAAAAAUUAUAGUCAGACCCAUGGUAUGUAGUAAUGCCCUUGGGAACUAAGAGCCUGCGUAGUUUGUGCAACACUUUGUCUUGGUUAUAAGGAUUGUGGGCAGUCACUAUGACACUAAGGAAGACUUUCCAGCACUUUGAAGGGAGACCACCUAGAAUUACUGGUAAAUAGACUCAAACAACAGAAUUCUGUUCCAGUACUAGGUUCUGGUACCAACUAGGUUUAAAACCUUCUUUUGAUCUCUUUGACACUAAUACCCGGUCUUUUCAACCCUAUGUAAGAAGCCUAGCUGCCUGGGUUUGAGGUUAGAGACACUUCGGCAACCUGCUGAAGGAGAUCUCAAAUUAGGCAGUCAAGAGAGUGCCCUAGUUAAUCAGCACUAAUGAUGAUGUGAUAUGAAGAUAGAGACCACACUAAAUAGGAGAUGAAGCCCUCUUCCUACCCCUUCCACUCCAGCAAAAACCGCUGAUUAUUUUACAUAUCCCAGGACUGAGCACAAUCCAGUGAGGGUAGGAUAUCAGCUCAAAGGGUUUGUAUGAAUGCUCUGAUUUUCUGUUGAACAAAAGACUGACUACUAAAAAUCACCCUCAAACUGAAUUAUUUUGAGACCUAAGAGUAUGAAUAGGUUUUGAACAUGUAUGAAUCCUCAUGAGGUGUUCAUUAACCUGGCUAUACUGUAAUAAUGUUAUGAAAAAUUAACUAAUAUUUUGUUGUUAAGUAACUUUCUAAGUAGUGAUCUCCAUAACAUUAACGUGAAAUACAUAUAUUUUAAAGGACAAUUUACCUCAUUUGGUACAACAGACUGAAAAAUAAGACACAAAUCCUGGCAAGAGAGGUCUUUCAGCAUGGGGGACUACAACCACAGGUCCAUGAUAAAAUGUAUUCAUGGGCUUAACUCCAGUUUAAUGUGUUCUUUCCCACUCCUGACCCUCUGCUGCAAGCUUGAUGCCUUCUCACUAGUGCCAGCACAGCUGUUCCUGAGCCUGUGUUGUGAACUAGACCUCUGAAAUCUGGUUGAAAAAAGUCAGUAUGUUUCAGGGAGACAAUAAUGUUGAAGUAGUUUCCUGAUCUGUCAUAGUCAUGCUGCCAGGUGUGGUGGACAGCAAGGAGCAGUGGAAAGUGGGACGAGGUUGUAGAUGGGAGUGUCUGAAGCCAGUAGUACUGUUGCCAAAGGCAAAACUAUAACCUAAACUAGCUUUAGAAAAGAGCCUAAAUAUUUCACUAAGGAGAUAACCACGAUAUGGUCGUACAAGCUGCUAGAUAAGGGUUGUGGUGGACCUUGAAAGGCUGAGUUCUACCACACCACACCCUGCAGCCAGCCAGCCACGCAAGUGUGCUGUUAGGGGCCACUGCCGCUCAGGCAGUUUCAUCCCCCGUGAGCAGCCUUUGAUGGCAUCUAGCCCCACCAGUUCUAGAAGCAGAUAAAAAUCUCAAAACUGGUCUACAUGAUUUUAUCCCUACCACUCAUUCUUUCCAAACAGUCCUUUAGGGCGUGGAACAGAUUUCUGUAUCUCUUCUUUAUUUUCACAGAUGUUUACUACCCCUGUCUAUAUGGCUUUGGCCUAAUAUACCACGCUGUUCUUUCAUUAGAAAGUUAACGAAAGGAAGAAGAUUGUCAACACCUGUCCAUCAGUAGGAGCCUGUCAGGUAACGGGGCCAAAGCCGAGCCAGCCGGCAGGUUUACCGUACUGCUAAUGCUGCGCUACCACCUUGUGGACAGAAGGCAAAUAGCACAGCGCUGCCGGGCACGCAGGUGCAGGGUCCGCGGGAAAUCAACAGCCCAGCUGGGGAAGGUGGCCGCGGGCAGCCUAGCGGACAGGGCAGCGUCGUCUCAGUCCUCCAGGCUGAGCCAGCUCAGGAUCUGGGCAGCCAACAGAAGCCAAAUGGAUUGUGGGAAAAUCUGCUGGAGCUCUGGAGUGUGAUAGCAGGUGAAGGGUACCCCUUAAAAGGGAUAUGACAGGCUGAUUCUCCUCUAGGAUACAGAGAGAAAUAAGCAGGAAUAAAUCAUCUUCCUAUUAUACUAGAGACACCAAUGCCUUUAUACAGGCAACUCCUAACUGUAGUCCUCAGAGCGACUUGCAGCUUCCUUGACUGUCUUCUUCCUGCUAGCUCAACUGGCAAGCCCUUUGACAGUAUAUUACCUUGGAGUCCCAACUCCUCCAUGUUCUUCUCUCCACAUCCUGGGAUUACAGCAGCUCUCUUGCAUUUCAGUGCUUUGAUUCAGGAGGAAUAGAAAUCAGAACACCACUUAAAAGAUCAGUUACUGAACUUGUUAUUCUUAAGGAUAUUUAUCGGUAGCCUCUUCAUCCCAUCAGGAUGAAGUGCCCUAUGACACUAAACAGAUUCCAAGAGAAGAAGGUGUAUUCAAAACCUUAUCUUCCUUUUCCCUAAAACCAAAGGAAUCCUUCUGCAGGUCUGAAACUCUGCACGAUCAGGACGCUGUCUUGUGUGCCUCCUCACACGUGAACUACAUAAGGAUUUGAAACAAGUGUUACUCAGGUAUCUCAAUUACAAGGCAAUGAUGAUUGGCACAGUCUGAUUUGGGUCUUACAUGGCUGAAGGCAAAAGCUUUCGGGGGACUGAUCCUCCUGUUAGUCAAUAGGCUAGACAUCCAGAUUUAUGCUGAUGCCAAAUUCUCUCUGUGGUCUCAUGUGACACAAAAUCAAACUGAGGCUUUUCACAUCCAUAAAACAUGUCCAAAACCCCUAGUUUAUUUCAUAAUACAGAAAAGCCUUCCUCAAUUGCUCUUUUAUUAUAGUAGUUCUCUUAUUGUGGUAAAUUAGGUGUCCACUGGAGCAAGCACGUGAACCUGGGCCUCUAACAUGACUACAGAUUGGCUUAAUGAUAAGCAGCAGAAUUUUCUCUGCUUUCCUUCUGUCUCACCUCCCCCACCCUCUACAUUUUCUUAAGACAGUUUGGUCACUUUUUCCAGGAUCUCCUCUUCCAAGCUCAAGAAUGGUCCAUCCUGGCAUGCAGGAAGCCAAGGAAAGAUGGCAGGAGGCCUGCCUGGAUGAAACAAGGAGCUCUAGACAAAUCUCAAACAUAAAAAAGAAACAUGAGAGAAACAUGGAAUUAGUUUCAGAUCUCCUGUAAAGGAAGACACUUUCUAUCAUAGAUGAGGUUAGGAAAACCAAAGCCCGACUGGAGCUGAAUCUGGUAAGGGAUAUAAAGGGCAAGAGGGAGGGCUUGUACAAGUAUAUCUGCAGCAAAAAUGGGGGAAAUGUAGGCAUGCUGCUGAAUGGGGUCAUGUCAACUGAAAAGGAACUUGGCAGAAAAGGUCUGUUGGCCUGGGGGUACUGGUGGACAACAAGAUGACUAUAAGCCAGGAGUCUGCACUUGAGGCUAAGAUGGCCAACAGCAUCCUGGGCUGCAUUAGGAAGACCAUUGCAGCAGAUGGAGGAAGGCAAUCCUUUCUUUCUGCACAGCACUGGUGAAACCACAUCUGGAGUGCUGUAACCAGCACAAGCCAUGAGCAUACUGGGGCAAGUCUAAUGAAGAGCCAUGAAGAUUAUUUAGGGACUGGAGCACGUGACACACAGAGAGAUGCUGAGAAAGCUGGGACUGUUCAGCCUGGAAAAGAGAAGGCUCAGCGGGAUCUUGUCAAAGUGUGUAUGAAUACCUGAUGGGGACAGCAAAGAAGGUAGAGACAGACUCUUCUCAGCAGUAUCCCAUGAAAGGCCAAGAGGCAAUGGGCACAAAUUCAUAUACAGGAAAUUCCAUCUAAACAUGAAAAGCUUUUUUUACUGUGAGUGGUCAAAUGCUAGAACAGGCUGCCCAGAGAGCUUGUGGAGUCUCUGUCCUUGGAGAUAUUCAAAGCCUGACUGGACACAAUACUGAGCAACCUGGUCUAGUUGUCCCUGCUCUGAGUAGGAUGUUGGACCAGACAAUCUCCAGAAGUUCCUUCCAACCUCUACGAUUCUGUUCAGUAACAUGUUCAUUAUUCCAGACGCAGUUCUGAUGGGAGCAAUGCUCCUGUGUACAACUUCUCAUUCUCUUUUUGGCAGAGAGAGGAAAAACAUUUCUAUCUUUAGAUUCUGUUUUCAGGAUAAGAUUCAUCCCACAGGUAUUGUGGGAUAUGAGCGAGUCCUCGUGCUCUUUUCAGCACUUUCUGUGCCCCACUUCUCCUGUUGCCCAAAAAAGCUUAUUGAAGCAUUGCAGCUCCCUUCUGCCCCCAGCUUCUGUUUUACAGGGGAUGGCAAAGACCAAAGUUUUUGUUUGGUUGGUUGCUUUUUUGGUGUGGCAAAAGCACAGGAUAAGCUUAGGAUAUGAGGGACAGUAAGUGCACUGCAGGUGCUCUUCCACUCCAGCUCUGUGGAAGAGUGGUCUUUUAAUUCAGGAUUAGAUCCCUCACCCCUUGCUCUGCCUCAAGCGCAGCAAAAAAGCUACACAAGACUACCAUGAAUCUAGGAUUCUCUCCUAUUUAUGCUCACCUGCUGUCCUUUUGCUCCACUUUUCCACUGAUCCAUACUGUGAAACAGCAGAGCUGCCACAGAGAAAUGGAUUGUGUACCAAAGACCUGAAUCUUAAAGAUGUGUUAACUUAAUCUACCAAGAUCUUGCUAGUGAAAAAUUUUCAUGUCAUGCUGAAAAUAACAACUUCUUUACUGAGGAUGGAAGUCUGGUAAUGUGACAAAUGCUGAAUCUGUUUCUCUGGAGAGAAAUUGCUAGCAGAAGACUCUGUGAUAGCAUUGUAGGAGGAAUUCAGAGCAAAACAGUUUUUGCCGGGUUUUGUUGGUGCCCUCAGCUAUGGGAGUACAUUCUUCCUCACUUCUAUGAGUUGGAUUGCUUAUAUAAAAAAUUACUUCCCCUUGCUCCAUGUUUCCUAAAUUAUGUAAUUUAUCUUACCCUGCCUUACACACAAAUAUAAACAGGAUUCCGUCAUCUCAAAACUGAUAUAUUAAAAAGCGCAAAACCUGAAAUUCCUUUUGUCAAUUCUCAGGCAACACAGUGGGCCAUGUAGCAUAGCCUAAGACAGCUUUUCUGAAACUGGUGGUGUAACACCAUUUUAAUUUCAGCUUAUCAGAUUUAAGCCAUCAGUGGGAAUCAUACUGGACCCAACAGUCCUCUGUAACAACUUUGGCUUCUUAAGCACCUAAAGGCUUAGUAAACUGCUGGAAUGUGAAGAAUGAUUUGCAGAAAUUAAUCAGGAAAGUCUUUGUACGGCACAUCUUUGCUAUUCAAGGAGUAGUGUGACAUGUUCUCUACUUUUCUGCGUAGAUAUCACUGCUUCUUUGCUUUGUGUUUUCAGUCUGGUUCCUAGACAAAGAGAGAUGUCAAGGCAAUAGGAAAGUAAAUUUUCUCCACCCAGAUCUGAGUUUUUUAUCUAUCUUUGACUCCAUUUAACCAAGUAAGAUAACAAUGCAGAAACUAAUGAUGUAUCACAAAAUGCUGAGAAAAUAUGCUUGAAUGGUUUGCCCACAACCAAAGAGGCAAUAUCAUAAAGCCAUUACCACAUUAGUGAUGCUGUGGCUUUAUUACCAAAUUGUGUAUGUACUUGAUAACACUAUUGGAUGAUACAUUUGUAAUAGAAAGCCCAUUGUGGUAACCUUUGACUUGUUUCUUGCCCGGGGAUAAAGAUUUGUAAUUGGAAGAAAGUUACAACAAGCAACAGUGACUAGCAAGUUUCAUUUACGAAACUCCUUCCUCCUCAGGCUCCCUGCAGCUAACACAAUAUUUCAUAAAGGGGGCUAAAAUUCAGAUUUGGUUACAAAGCCUGCCUUUGUAGGACACUAGAGACACAAGGAUUGAGUGAAAUCAUUUUGUUUACUCAGAUUUAAACCAAGAAAUAUGAACUAAUGCAAGAGUCAGAACCAAAUUGAAAUGUCUGAAGUACAAGACUUAAACACUACAAAAUUCAUAUCAUCAUCCAACACACAUUCCAUUUCUAACCCAUCAGUUUUGGGAUUCAUUCAGGAAAUACUUAAAAACAGGCCUUUUUUUUUUUUUAUGGGUUCUAUUGAGAAUGUUUCUAACACUCUUGUAAAAAACAUAAUUAUGAUCAUCUGUGUCAUCUUGUGAGAUGUUCUUGAAAGACAGCAUUUGUUAAUUAACAAAUUAAUAGAUAUUUUCCUUCUAUGAGUUUGUUUUAAUUGUCUAUUUAUAUCAGAGUAUUUAAAAUGUACCAGUCUACCACUUCAAGGAAUCUUUCUAUAAUACUGAUAGUUGGGGUUUUUUUCUCUGCCAGUAAACAUAAGAGGAAAGUACCAAAUGCAGCACAGUGAUAUAACUGUAAAUGAAUCCUUUAUUCUGACUUCUACAUUUUAGCUAUUAGCCUGCUCAAGAGAAAUUUUGCUGUUGAUUCAGAGCCUGUAAGUGGGAUCAGUCAAACUGGCUUCAUUAAAGUCAACAGCACAUCCUGCUUAAUAUUGCAUGCCAUGCUCAAACACCACAACUUCAGCGACAGCUGAAAUAGGCCACAUAAUUGUAAAUGGUAUCCAAAAUCAUUACAAAGCUGCCAGGUCAGAUACUGAAAUUCCAGACUGGAGGAUUUUUCUACUUACUGUACCUGUACAUAGCAGGUGUUAAGUGUUAUGUUUUAAAUUUAGUAGUUCAUAUUUGAAUCUAUCAUGAGUAAUUUUGUGAAAGGCAUACCUUGAAAACUAACACUAAUGGUUGUGGAUGAGACUAGAGAUUCGGUUUGGAUACACCAAGUGGUAGCUGUCAUCUCUUCUACCAGAAUGUAACCAUUUUGCCAGGUCUUAAUUGCCUUCAACAAUAGGCCGGGUUUAAGUUUAAGAGGGUUCAUUUGUUGCUCAAGUUCCGCUCAAACUCUGGGAAAAUAAUAUUAAUCUUUCUCAUGUUCAGUGAGUUAAUUUUCCCCAUUUCCAAACACAAGUCAAAGGGAUCAAUAAAAAAUAUUUUAAAUAAAAGGAAAAAAAGACUACUUUUGACAAAACAGUUAAGCAGGGUAAGAGACAACACCUAGCAUACAACUACAGCAAUAACAAUUUUACAGUCUUCUGCUGGAGGAGCAGUGCUUGGCCAGUUGCUUGCUUUUGUCUCCUAAGGUUGCCUUCACUCAAAAUUUGGGACUCUUGUGUCUUGCAGGGCAGCAAGGCCUCAUCAUCUUCAGCUUUUCCACACACAAUGUAAAAAACUCUUUCCUGAAACUCCUUUUCUACUUUCUAACAGCUGUACCCUAUGCUGAAAGUAAAUGCCCAAGAUAAGGUUAACACUCCCCAGGCACAGUUAAAAAAAACUUAACUGACCUUAACUCCUUCCUACACUCUUGCAGGCACAAACUUUCCUCCUUUAUGCUAAAAACCCUUCCUUUCCAACAGAAAUGUUUCUCUAAUAUAAUGAAACAGCAUACGCAAAAUAAACAUGCUUUAGACCUAUCUACCAGUCCUUUCCAUUCCUUGUCCCUUUGCUCUGCCAGUUGUCAGCCAGACUCCUUUUCUAGUCUGACUUUCUUUCCCUGAGGAAUUCUUGUGGUGGGAGAGAGUGCCAGAGAUUUGCUUUCACUUUGGGCCUCAGCCACCAGCGUUACCCAAAGUUAAUGUAUAUUUAAUACGAUACAGCCAGUAACCCUUUCUGCCAACCUCUGAUCAUGUGCCAGCUGAAGAGUGCUGCGAAGUAACGUCCUCUAACUAAAUCUCAAAGCCCAAGUAUAAACUCCUGAUUAGUGGUGGGUGAGAUUACUAGGGAUGUAUGCAUAUACCCCUCUGUUUCUUUGCCAGCUGGAAUUUCUCCAUGCUGUAGGAUAUCUACGGAAGCAGGCUCCAGAAAACCUUCUGGUUUUGCAGUACAUGUGCAAGGCAAAGCUACCAAAGGGUUUUUCCUGGUAACUUCAUUUCCUGCCUCAAGCCGUCAUGUAACACUUCUGUGCCUGGUUAAUUGAUGGUCAUGAUGUAAUGGGUAAGUUAUGGCAUUUCAGCGAUGGGUGUAAGGCAAUCUUCAUGUGUGUAGUUGAAAAGGAACAAUUUCAUGGUUUAGGUUUCUUCAGGAAUACACUAUCAUUUCCACAGAAGUUUGCUUUUUUUUUUGUUUGCUUCUUCCUUCAUGGACCACCAGAGACAAAGAUGACUGAGUGUAAAGCAGUUUCCAUUCUUGGAAGAUCUUUCUCCCACCCCCCUGUAUUUCUUUAACUGGUUAAGUAAGGUUUAGGUUCACCAGGUAGUAUAAAGGUCAAAAUGUUAAGGGAACCAAAGAGAAGUGAUUGAGAAGGUCUUUCUGAGGAUGACAGCUCUGCCUUGUAAUACAAUACUAUUUCUCCUGGGAGUGGGUGGGAGGCCUGCCUAAAUUUCCUCUUCCUGUCCUGCCAAAUUCCCCAAAUUGCAUAACUGUGUAUUCUCCUUACACAGUGGUACCCUUGGCAUCCCUAGUGAAUCUGCAGGGAAGUAGUGAAGCAGCUGGAGGCUUGAAGGUUAACCAAAAUUGGUAGAGGACAGACUUGGUUAGCCAAAAAACAAAACAAACCCAAACCCACAAACUGAAUUUACUAACUCUCCCAUGUAUAACAGAACACAAUACACAUUUAAUAAUAUACACUAUUUUGCUCUAAAUGCACUCCAUCUAGGAAAAAUAAGUUUAUCGGGAUAAGCGAAGGACCCUUGGGGAGUUCAUCAGUUCAGUUUCAAGUCACAAGAUGUGUUUUACUUGGCUUUGGAGCCUUCUUGUGCAAGAUUAAUGUGAAACUGCUGAAAUGCAAACUGACAAAAAGACAUAUUUUUACCAAUUGGUGCUUUUUCCUCUGUGCCAUUAUUUUCAUUGGGAGGCCUCAUCACUGCCUUCCCCAUCACCCCUGCCUUAGACUGACAGGAGUAUGAGGUACUUCUUGGCUUCUGUGAGGAAAUGAAAGAAUGACUGUUUGAAGAGCAGCAUGACCAGUGUACCUCAUAAGGAUGUAAUCCUGAAGGCUUUUGCUUUGUCACUAGACUGAAUCAGAAGGGAAGAAUUUGGACCUCCUUAGCAGGGAGUGUCAAACGUGGUUAUCCUGGGGUAGGUUUUGCCUGAGUAAGGAGGGAAAGAUUUGCCUCCUUUGGAAAAAUAUUUAUGUUUCUUAAAAGUUCAAGUAGCCAAAUUCAUUACUUUUGAAGCUUUGCUAAGCUUCACUGGAGCCUACUGUAGCCAUGUAAGCUGGCUGAUUGUCAUUAAGACAAUAAAAAAGCAAGCACACCCGCAGAGAUUUUGAUAAACCUGCUCUUACUGUCUGCAUACAGCACCUUAAAUAGGCUCAGGGCUGUCGCUGGGAUUGCUCAAGAGAUUGGGUACUACUCAACGUGUGUAAGGGUGGGAGAAUCUGGCUCCAAAUGGUUUCUUUUUCUCUCCUUGCUACAGGAACUGGAAAAGACAAGGGUGUGUGGGCGGGCCUGGAGUCCCUCCAAGGAAAGUGUGAGGCCUUGGGCAAAACAAAUCCAUCAGGUCUCUCAUUUCUUCCAAGUAUAGGUCUGUUCUGAGCAAUAGCCAAACUCAAGUCUAAACUCCACAUUCAACUGUUUCACGGGGAAUACGUGAAAAAGGCCCUAUGGCCUACAGAGUCCAUCUAUAGAAAAUAUUUUGAUAGCUCAUCUGCUCUGGCAUUAUCUUCCACUUAAAAAGAAAGAAAAAGAAAACACACAAAACUGAAGCACAUGGUUCAAUUUUCACUGUAAAACAACUGAUUGAUGAAAAUAAUACUUCUGAAAACAAUCUGUUGUGAGCUAUCAAGGAUCUUUGCCUGUGCACCAAUUGGCAGGAAGCAGACAGAUAAAUUAUUACAAUAUGUAACAAAACAAACUGGUCUGAAGAGAAAUGGUAUUUGUGUGGGGGGUGUGUGUGUAUGAGCAGGAUAAGUAGAAUUAAAUCCAUAAAAGUAUGCUAAGAGAUCAUCCUCCAUCGCAGCAGAAAUAUACUGGAAGGAAAGAAAGUUGCUUCAGCUCUGUCCCUGUCUGAAUCUCUAGGAGAACAGGGUUUAUGAUAUGCAAGUGUUCUCCUGAAGAAGAACAGAUGAAUCCUGGACUUAAAUGAAAAAUAAAAAAAGAACUUGGGAUGUUCCUGCUCUUGAGAGGUAGGGGUCUUAUAGCCAUUUUUGUCAAGAUGCUUCCAAAUUUUUCAGGCAUCACCACAUCUUAAUAAAAUGGAGAAGUUGCAGUAACUCCCCAGAUCUUGAAUACUCUAUUACCGUCCGUGGGGAAAUUUUCUGAAGUGCUUAUAGACAUGAAGAUUUAAGAGGCAAAAUCCCAUUAACUUUCUGUAAGACAGUUUCUUUAUAGCCCGGCAUGUGAACAAACUACAGUGAGAUAAGCUCUGUAUGAAGUAACAGCAUGUGAAUUGUUGUGUUGUGACUUUCCGUGUUCAUGCUCCUAUCUCACAGUGACCUUACAGCUGAAGCAGAGAUGGUGACUCCUUUUCCAUCAAGAGCCAAACCACAUCACAUUUGCCUCAGAGCUCAGACCAUGUACCCUGGCAGCUGGUGGAUAGCAGUGGACAAGCCUGCUGUCUGCCACGUGAUAAAUAUACUUCUGAAAAGAUAAGUAGAGCUUCUAAAUUGUGCAGGAUAAAUCUUCCUUGAUAUUUGUGGGUCACUGUCACCCAGCCUGAGCCAUCAGAUCCACACUGACCCGUUCAUGCCAUACCUGUAACCCGCAUCAAUCUUGUCUGUUUCCACUGAUGCUAAGAGGAGAGGGAAUCUUUCCAGGCAUGAGCCCCAUCUUCUUUUCCUGAACUAGGCCCUACUUGUGGAUAGUAGAGGAGGGAAGUGGACACACAAAGCAUGAAAGUCUGGAAAAGGCAAUUCUGGGAAAUGUGACCUGCAGGGUGUAGUUAAAUUUCAGACACUUAUCAGAGAGGGACUGGAGACGGAGUCAAGAUGAGUUGGAGCAUGUAUCUGAUAUUGUUCCCAUAGUAAGGCUUAUAUGGGUGCUAGUAGUUGAUCUUAGGUUUUACAAUAGAUGUUCCAUAGAUGUGGCCUUUUGGUUAUUACUGCAAUCAUCAUGACUUCAACAAGAAAAAAAGAUUUUUAAAGGUCUCCAGAAGUAUCCAAAUCCCAUUAAAAUUCAGUGACACGCUUUCUUAAAGGCUUCUUUGAAAAUCCUUCCUUACACCUCUACUUCCUCCCCAGAAUCCAAAUGUCCUUUUCAGAUUAAGCAUCCUUAUAUGUGACAGAGCCAGAGUAUCAUGGACUUAUUAUUUUCUGCUGUUUUUAGCCAAGGGACAAAUAUUCUGCAAUCUAAACAUGACAGGAAAUUUUUUUGCCAUAUUUGAAGGCUGCUGAAUGUGGUGAGUGGCUAAAAAAUAAAUAGUGAGCAGAAGUAAAGGGUUCCUCUUACAAACUCUUGCAUUUGCACAUUGUAAGGGAACCAUUCAUAGCCUGUGAGCACAAUAGCUGAUAGUAAUUGCUAGCAGAAAUUAGCUAGCUGCAGGGACUGCUAACUGUAGGCAGCUAGCCAACCUAAAAGAUUGUGAUCAUGUCAUUUAAGUAAGCAGCAAGUAAAAGAGUGUGUGGCUGAAGAAUUACUGUGCUACUUUGUGACAGAUAACUUGAAAAGGUGACAGGUGAAUAAAAAAAAAGAAAAAAGCCUGUAAGAGUCCAAUAGUAACAGAUAAAUACACUCCAAACAGCUGUAGCUCAUUUCACCUACCAAAAUUGGAGUAAUUUGGUCUUGUUUGUCAUUGAAACAUACUCAAUAGGAACUCAUUAAUGUGGCUAAGUCAGCAGCCUAAAUUACAGUAAAAAGAUUAGCUUAACAGAGCUGUUUUGUGGGUUACAGAUUUUCACAUGCAACUACAAAUUCAUCACUAAACCUUGAAGUGCUGGAACCAUCUACAAGUAUCUCUAUGCCAGAUUCUUGUGCCUUCAGUUAUUUUGAGCCGCUUUGGCUGCACCACUAUCUUGACAAAAUGUAUGAAAAACCUUCAAGUCUGAGAGUGGUGUAUUCCUUGUCCUUCUAGUAUGAUAGAAGAUUCACAGUCCUGUGCAACACUGUUUCAAAGUCUCCAGCCCAUGUCACAAAUCUUACAUUUCCUGCUGCAUUGAAGGACAGGAUGCUCCUGGUAUUUUCUGCACAGCUUUCAUGCCAGUUAAGAAACCUGAAAGCUUCCCUGAAACCCAAGAUGUAAGUGUGCGCUAUAGUCUGUGUGCACGUGUUUGUGUUUUGGGCCUGCAGAGGUUACGCUGUAUGUUCUUCUACAUUGUCCCUUCAGGCAGACAGGAGGAUUAUGGACGACACUUAUGUCCACACUGCAGUCCGUAGGCACAUCUACUUUGCUUACGCAUACUGGAGACCACCUUUCAGCCAGCCAGCAGCAGAGCUGGUGACAAUGCAAUUGCGUAGGUAUGGGUGUUGGUUGUUUAGUACCUGCAGAGGGCCCUGGGAAGGCAGCACAGCUCAAGCUAAAAGUGAGUUCCUGUACCAUCUGUCUGCCCCUGAAACCCAAGUGAGAUCGUUCCAAGCUAGCUCAGCUCCAGUAAUGCUAGAACAGCACUGUGGAUGUGCCUAAAAGCUGGUUUGGCCUCCACUUGGCCAGGUUGGUGAGUGCCAUGGCCACUUUGGUCAAGUGUCCUGGGUACAAACAAAAAGGAAAAGGCAGCUCAUUCCAGUCAAUGUCAAGACCUUUCUUUCCACCUUCAGCCUGGGCAGUGGGCCCCAUCCACCUAGGGACAGUCUUUUAGUAAGCACCUCUUCAUGGAGAUCUGCCUGUUUGUCUUUCUCUCUUCUUGCCCCAGCCUUCAGAAGGCUCCCUUCGCUAUUUUUUCAUCCAAAUGCCAACUCCUACGAUACUUGUAUAUAACUAGUAAGAGUGGGUGACACUGCACAAGACUUUCAGCAAAAUCUGCUAUCCAGAAAAAUUCAGAUAGUAGCCUUAACCAUGUUUUUAGGUAUUUCACUGAACUGAGCCUGAACUCUCCAUCACUGGAGGCCUGCCUUAACCAGUAGGCCAAUUUGCUGCGGAACUUGUGCAGAAAUUAACACAGGACUUAAGAAAAAAAAAAAAACAACCAAAAAAACCCAAACUAGAAUAUAAAAUGGUAAAAGGUGAUGUUCUUUCUGUUCUUCAUUUUCAGUGUGUAAUUGAAGAAUAAACCUUGGCGAGCACUCAUACAAUCCAAGAUGGAUGGUAUACACAAACAUGAGGCUGCUCUUAUAAUCUUAGAAGCUCUGGGGACUAAUGGGAAAAGAUUUCAGAAACUCAAGACCUGACAGGGGUCCUGCUAUGCUGUCAGUGUUGAAGCAGAAUUGAAAUCCCACUGAUUUCAGUGGAAGUUCAGCUCAAAACCGGAUGGCCUUAAAGGCCUCUACAAGUUAAGUACUUGUGCUGCAAGAAAAGCAUAUGUAGCACAGAGUGCUGCCAGGAGUGUGGUAUGAACCAUAAGAUUUUACAGUAUGUAGGACAGAGUCCAGCUGAGUGUUAACAGGAGAAGCAUUUUGGAUAAUGUAGAACAGCUGACAGAAUAUAGCGAAAUAAACAGUGCAAUACUGAGAGCUGUUGGGGAGGAAUUCUUACAGUUCAGAGGAGGCAAGGCUGGCCAGCAGUCAGACCCAUUACAACUGUUCAGUUUAGACUUGGGUAUGGUUAUGCUGUCCUUCCUGAUACCUAGCUGCUGUCACUAAAGGAUUUGUUGGAUAACAUGGAUUUGAGCGCAAGUCUCAUGCCAAGGGUGUCUAGCUCUAAUUUCCAUCCUCUGCCUUUCUCCAAAGCCAUGACCUGAGUUUGGGCAGGAUCAGCUCAUCCACAGAAAAUAACUGCCUGAAUCUGAGUUCAAACUGGUCAGAGUGGGUGCUGUGGAGAAGAGGAAAACAUUUUGAAGAUUUCAUAGUCAGGAUUGGUUCCCUGGGUUACAAUCACACACCCACAGAGAGUCAGUGCAGGCUGCAGUUCAGGAAUGUUCCCAGGCUCCUUACUGAUGCUAAGUUCUCACAUAACACUAGCUGGACAUACUGCUGCUCACUCUCUCCAGCUGGUUAACGUUAUCUUCUCAUAGCCAACCACCUAGCCUUAGUAACUCAUGCCUCUAUUGCCGCCUCAGUGACCAAAUCAUCCUGUUACUACUGGUUCAGAAGCCUUCAGUGAUGAGGAAACCUCUCCUUUGUGCAGGUCGCUGCAGCAUGUCUCCUCCAUCACAUGAGCUGCUGUGAGUCUGCCUGUACCGAAUAUACCCAUCAGCUAAAUUAUAGUCAAGUUUGGGGCCUCCAUGCAGAAGCUCACAACUGGGCCCAUACUGAGAAGACUGGCAGAUAAUUAUCAGGAUGGACAACAGCUUUCUCCCAAGCAGUAGCAAAACUUACCUAGAGCUUUCUUAAAAGCCAGUCUAAGACUGCAAAAUGAGCUUUACAAGAAACUGAAGGCUAUCAUGAGCCUCACUAUUUUCCACUCUGUCUUCCUCUUAACAAAACUGCCUAGAUAUUGCUGUAUUUCUAAAAAAAAACAUUCUAUGAAAUAGACACUGCACUACACAUAUUUCCUCUCCUGAGCUGCAAAAGAAACAGUUGGUAUACAUUUUCAAGUUGCUAGCAGGUGCUUAGACAUAGGAUCUCAGCACUUUACUCACAUUGCCACUGUCUAUACUGAAGUUAGAAUUGGAUGCUUAUGCAUAUGAGAAUGAUUACACAGAAACAUUUCUGUAUUUCAGUUUUGUUCCAAAUAAAAAUCUGUGACAUAAAAGCCAUAAAAGGAAACUUCAAAACUUCAGGCCAUGGAUAUAAAUAAUUUGCGUACAAGAAGUUUCAGGUGCUCCAGGUGAAGUGCACAGAGCCCACUAAGUCCAAAAAGUUACAUGCUGCUGAACUUGCAGGGUUGGCACAGGGAUUGUACAGGGCACACAGCAGCAUUACUGCUGAACUACUUGCCCAUCUUCAAACUGUCUUAGGCAUUACAUGCAAGAUGGACACAGUUUUGGAAGGGGGCUAAUCCUUCAUUACUUAUUGAAUAUCAAUGCUAUCGCAACUGUAAUUUCAGUAAUGUGAAGGAUGAAGAUCUAGGUGGACCCAGCCAUAUCAAAAGUUUCUCCAGCAGCAUUACCCAACCACUGAUGAUAAUAAAAUGACAAAAAAAUGACAAGAAUCUGCCAUUUAUCAACUCAAGGACAGUUACUACUUCUAUUGUCAACUUUAGAGGUAGGAAAUUUGAGAUGCAGUUAUAUAUUUUGUAUAUACUGUUGCUUUAUACAGCACAGCUUUGUGAACAAGCAGUUCUUGCCUACUACUUUAAUCAAAAGCAGAAGAGCUUGUUGGUGUCUGGUGAGGAAAAGGGUAGAAGGAGAGGAGGGAGAGCACAAAUCUGGUACACUCAACCCCAGCCACCAAAACUGAGCACUUCUUAUGCAAAUUUUAACUUCAUCUGUGUCAAAAUUAAACAGAAAAAGGAGGUAACAUCAUGUAGAUAGAUUCUGUGGUGCAUAUUACUAGGAAAGCUACACAAGCAUCAGAGACAUUACUUCUGCCCUUUAGUACCCUGUUUAACAUGUAAAUGCACUUGAUCUAAGAAUAUAAAGUAUUCAGGCAGGCAAAGCAGAAUAAAUGUUGCCUUGAACUGUGCUUUAAUAUUGGACCUUUUUGGUUUUACCAAGAAAAUAAAACCAAUCCAAGGUUUCCUGUCUAAGUUUUGAACUUAUCGUAGAACAGACACGUAAACCAAACGCAUUGGGCUUGAGCCUGAUUUGUAGAAGAGCUCAUUUAUCUGCUGUUUCAAACCUGUGCAUUUCACUGUUCUACAGACGAGUGCCGUGAUGCUGCUAGCACACUUCUGCUCAUGUUCAUGGGCAGUCAGGCUCAAGAUCAGGCUGCUAUGUAGGAACGGAAAGCACAUUUAUUUCUCUAGGGGGCUAAUGAGCAUGCAGAUCUCAGCUUAUCAGGAAAGAAAGCUCUGCAAAUGCUUGAAAAGAGCGUUUUCUGUUUUCCUUUGGCUCUUACUAAUUCCAAAAAAUCACCAAGUAUCUGCACAACCUGAAGCAAUUGAGUUCUACUGAUACCAAUUUAGGGCUUUUGCACAUAGAAACUGAUCAUCUGCUUCCGUGCUCGGCAGAACUGAGGAGAAAUUAGUAUCUCCCCAUCAGCUUUGUCCAAAGGAGGGGAAACCCAUAAGCUUUCUGUAAAGGUGUACAGUCACUCUUUUCACAGUUAAUCUGUCCAGGCAGAGCAGUAUCAAACCCAUGUACACAGAAUUCCAUCUACAUAAAACCUGAGAUGGGAUUAAUUUUGAAAUGUAUUUAGGAAUAAUAAAUACUAAAGCACU
Falco peregrinus (peregrine falcon) is the source of this 16649-nucleotide long non-coding RNA. RefSeq lists it as uncharacterized. NCBI's taxonomy places the organism in Eukaryota, Metazoa, Chordata, Aves, Falconiformes, Falconidae. The transcript has 5 exons. The record is from RefSeq and is a predicted model, not a curated record.